CCUACGGGAGGCUGCAGUCGAGAAUCAUUCACAAUGGGGGAAACCCUGAUGGUGCGACGCCGCGUGGGGGAAUGAAGGUCUUCGGAUUGUAAACCCCUGUCAUGUGGGAGCAAAUUAAAAAGAUAGUACCACAAGAGGAAGAGACGGCUAACUCUGUGCCAGCAGCCGCGGUAAUACAGAGGUCUCAAGCGUUGUUCGGAAUCACUGGGUGUAAAGCGUGCGUAGGCUGUUUCGUAAGUCGUGUGUGAAAGGCGCGGGCUCAACCCGCGGACGGCACAUGAUACUGCGAGACUAGAGUAAUGGAGGGGGAACCGGAAUUCUCGGUGUAGCAGUGAAAUGCGUAGAUAUCGAGAGGAACACUCGUGGCGAAGGCGGGUUCCUAGACAUUAACUGACGCUGAGGCACGAAGGCCAGGGGAGCGAAAGGGAUUAGAUACCCUGGUAGUC
This 446-nucleotide ribosomal RNA is filed under the name uncultured bacterium. RNAcentral describes it as "partial 16S ribosomal RNA". It matches the Rfam family "Bacterial small subunit ribosomal RNA", at positions 338 to 795 of the family's 1533-position model. The record is from RNAcentral.